Molecule: ribosomal RNA, 1391 nt
Filed under: human gut metagenome
Description: bacterial LSU rRNA
Rfam family: Bacterial large subunit ribosomal RNA
Source: RNAcentral
GGUAGAGCACUGAAUUUCCUAGGGGGCGUCAAAGCCUACCGAAGAAUAUCAAACUCCGAAUGCCGCGUAAUCGAUUAUCGGGAGUCAGACUGCACGAGAUAAGUUGGGCGGUCAAAAGGGAAAGAGCCCAGACCUUCAGUUAAGGUCCCCAAGUGCGCGUUAAGUGGAAAAGGAUGUGGGAUUUCGAAGACAACCAGGAUGUUGGCUCAGAAGCAGCCAUACAUUCAAAGAGUGCGUAAUAGCUCACUGGUCGAGAGGUCCUGCGCCGAAAAUGUCCGGGGCUGAAACACGACACCGAAGCUUAGGAAUCACAUAGUGAUUGGUAGAGGAGCAUUCUUAAAACCGACGAAGCUGUACCGGAAGGAGCAGUGGAGGGAUAAGAAGAGAGAAUGCCGGAAUGAGUAGCGAGAGAGAGGUGAGAAUCCUCUCGGCCGAAUAUCCAAGGUUUCCAGAGUAAAGCUGAUCUGCUCUGGGUAAGUCGGGGCCUAAGGCGAGGUCGAAAGACGUAGUCGAUGGAUAACAGGUUGAAAUUCCUGUACUAUCCUGUAACAGAACUGUGGGGACACAGGCAGAGAGCGUGAGCCGGGAAUGGAAAGACCGGUACAAGCGAGGUAGGAGAAGAGUUGGCAAAUCCGCUCUUUAAUCUGAAGACGUGAUGUGGACUGAAAAUAAGUAGGGAAGCACGUGAGCUGACUGUCAAGAAAAGCCGCUAUUGUUUGCAGGAUACCCGUACCGUAAACCGACACAGGUGGAUGAGGAGAGAAUCCUAAGGCCGACGGAAGAAGCAUUGUUAAGGAACUCGGCAAAAUGACCCCGUAACUUCGGGAGAAGGGGUGCUCCAGAGAUGGAGCCGCAGAGAACUGGCCCAAGCAACUGUUUAGCAAAAACACAGGUCUAUGCAAAACCGAAAGGUGAGGUAUAUGGGCUGACGCCUGCCCGGUGCUGGAAGGUUAAGAGGAGAGGUUAGCGCAAGCGAAGCUUUGAAUUUAAGCCCCAGUAAACGGCGGCCGUAACUAUAACGGUCCUAAGGUAGCGAAAUUCCUUGUCGGGUAAGUUCCGACCCGCACGAAAGGCGUAAUGAUUUGGGCACUGUCUCGACAAUGCACCCGGUGAAAUUGAAAUACCAGUGAAGAUGCUGGUUACCUGCGCCAGGACGGAAAGACCCCAUGGAGCUUUACUCCAGUCUGGUACUGGGACUCGGUAUUGCAUGUACAGGAUAGGUGGGAGGCUAGGAGAUGGUAACGCCAGUUGCCAUGGAGCCGCUGUUGGGAUACCACCCUUGCAGUAUUGGGUUUCUAACCAGCCGCCGUGACCCGGCGGUGGGACAAUGCCAGACGGGGAGUUUGACUGGGGCGGUCGCCUCCGAAAGGGUAUCGGAGGCGCUCAAAGGU